GUCUAUGGCUAUGCCACCCUGAACAAGCCCGAUCCCAUCUGAUCUCAGAAGCAAAGCAGGGUUGGGCCUAGUUAGUACUUGGAUGGGAGACCACCUAGGAAGACUGGUGCUGUAGAGG
Molecule: ribosomal RNA, 118 nt
Filed under: Pteropus alecto (black flying fox)
Lineage: Eukaryota; Metazoa; Chordata; Mammalia; Chiroptera; Pteropodidae
Source: RNAcentral